This is a non-coding RNA of Acanthosepion pharaonis, 86 nucleotides long. The record is from the annotation of a GenBank genome assembly. Lineage: Eukaryota; Metazoa; Mollusca; Cephalopoda; Sepiida; Sepiidae.
UUCCCAUACGAUCAAUGAAGUUAAGCAAUGUUGAACCUGUUCAGUACCAAGAUGGGUGACCACUCUGGAAUAGCAGCUGCUGUAAG